ACGCCGUCCCGAGCGGCGUUCGCGGCCUCGAACGGGCCAUGGUGGGGGUGGUGCCGUGUCGGCGCAGCACCACCCCCUAC
Small RNA from Streptomyces caeruleatus, 80 nucleotides. It matches the Rfam family "Streptomyces RNA 6106". Rfam says of the family: Identified by deep sequencing of transcriptome at the end of exponential growth phase. NCBI's taxonomy places the organism in Bacteria, Bacillati, Actinomycetota, Actinomycetes, Kitasatosporales, Streptomycetaceae. The record is from Rfam.